RNAcentral lists this ribosomal RNA (258 nucleotides) under uncultured bacterium. RNAcentral's name for it is "partial 16S ribosomal RNA". It matches the Rfam family "Bacterial small subunit ribosomal RNA", at positions 524 to 776 of the family's 1533-position model. The record is from RNAcentral.
UACGGGGGGGAGCAAGCGUUGUUCGGAUUUACUGGGCGUAAAGGGCGCGUAGGCGGUCGUGACAAGUCACUUGUGAAAUCUCCGGGCUUAACUCGGAACGGUCAAGUGAUACUGUCGGACUAGAGUACAGAAGGGGCAACUGGAAUUCUUGGUGUAGCGGUGAAAUGCGUAGAUAUCAAGAGGAACACCUGAGGUGAAGGCGGGUUGCUGGGCUGAUAACUGACGCUGAGGCGACGGAAAGCUAGGGUAGCAAACGGG